CGCGCAGGCGGCGGCGUGGGUCCGGCGUGAAAGCCCCCGGCUCAACCGGGGAAGGUCGUCGGGGACCGCGCCGCUUGAGGGCGGCAGGGGCCGGUGGAAUGCCUGGUGUAGUGGUGAAAUGCGUAGAGAUCAGGCGGAACACCCGUGGCGAAGGCGGCCGGCUGGGCCGUCCCUGACGCUGAGGCGCGAAGGCGUGGGGAGCGAACGGGAUUAGAUACCCCGGUAGUCCACGCAGUAAACGAUGCCGACUGGGCGUGGGGGGAGUUGACCCCCUCCGUGCCGGAGCCAACGCGGGAAGUCGGCCGCCUGGGGAGUACGGCCGCAAGGCUAAA
RNAcentral lists this ribosomal RNA (332 nucleotides) under uncultured Thermomicrobium sp. Its description in RNAcentral is "bacterial SSU rRNA". It matches the Rfam family "Bacterial small subunit ribosomal RNA", at positions 568 to 898 of the family's 1533-position model. The record is from RNAcentral. Lineage: Bacteria; Pseudomonadati; Thermomicrobiota; Thermomicrobia; Thermomicrobiales; Thermomicrobiaceae.